AUGAGGGAAAGAGAAUGGAAAUACAAGGAGAAAAAGGAACAAUGCUAUGGAAGAAGAGUGCCUGUAUUUUUUACACUGGCACUGAAUAGGCAAAUCCAUGCGGAGACAAAGGCUGGAGAGAGGAGAAAAAUGGUGAGUGACUGCUUGAUACGUGUGGGGUUUCCCUUGGGGGUGAUGAGAGUGAGACUCUGUCUCAAAAAAGAAAAAAGAAAAAAUAUUGUUUUAAUUUUAUUUAUUUUUAUUUUAUUUUGUCUCACUCUGUUGCCCAGGCUGGAGUGCAGUGGCAUGAUCUCGGCUCACUGCAACCUCUGCCUCCCAGGUUCAAGCGAUUCUCCUAUCUCAGCUUCCUGAGUAGCUGGGACUACAGGCACCUGCCACCACUCCCACCUAACUUUUUUGUAUUUUUAGUAGAGAUGUAGUUUCACCAUGUUGGUCCAGCUGGCCUCAAACUCCUGACCUCAGGUGAUCCACCCACCUCAGCCUCCCAAAGUGUUGGGAUUACAAGAGUGAGCCACUGCUCCCGGUCUGCCUCUGGUUUUAAAUGCAAGCUUAUAAAGAAGUACAAGCCCAAAAUGCUUCAGGUAAAAUUGUUUGACAGCCUCAGCUUAUUACUUUAAACCUGCUGGAGUGACCAGUUCUCAGGACUGGAAGUUGUAGAAAUGGUCAAGGAAGAAGGAUGGCUUUUUGUAUGUGUAGCUCAUCACUGAAAUCAACAGAGUGUCCCUAGGUUUAAUGUCAGGUCACCCGCACAUAUGUUUGUGGUACAUAAGGACAUCAUUACAUUGUGCACUACCAGGAAUAGAAACAUCUGAUUUCUUGUCAGUAGAAAAUACAGAAAAUUCUUUCACAAAAACAGAAAAGAAAAAGAAAAAACAUACAGUUUUGGGUUCCUAUGAAUUUCUGAGUCGAAAAACAACAUCUAAGGUUGCUAUUUUAAAAUCAAAUUAGAUAAUGUUUUAUGACCGGAAACUAUCUGAACAAUGACACCUUACUUCCUGUAAACUAUGAGUAAAUUCCACACAUUCCCAUGUUUACAUAACCAGAGCCCAGGGUUACAAUUCCCACUCUUAGUCACAUAAAUGUGUGUUUUGUUUAUCAUUAGAAAAUAAACACGCUUUGACUUGCUAUGUGAAGAUAAAAAAAAGAAAAGAAAAACACAUGCUUUGUAGUCUGAGGUCUAACUUAAUAAAUUGAACGAUAUGAAAAAGAUUAAACUAAAAUAUGUGAAACUUUAACACUUGAGAAAGGUCUACAUGAUCCCAAGUUACUCCCACUUUCACUGAGACAUCACUGCUGAAUAACUGAAAGGCUCUCAACAAAACUCCAAUCUAGCUGGGCGCGGUGACUCACACCUGUAAUCCCAGCACUUUGGGAGGCUGAGGCAAGCGGAUCAUCUGAGGUUGGGAGUUCGAGACCAGCCUGAUUAACAUGGUGAAACCCCAUCUCUACUAAAAAUACAAAAUAAGCUGGGCAUGGUGGCGCAUGCCUGCAAUUCCAGCUACUCGGGAGGCUGAGGCAGGAGAAUCACUUGAAUCCGAAAGGCGGAAGUUGCAGUGAGCCAAAAUCACGCCAUUGCACUCCAGCCUGGGUGACAAGAGCGAAACUCCGUCUCAAAAAUAAAAAAUCCAAUCUAAUUUUGUUUUAUUAAUCUCAACGUCCUUCCUAACAAAGUUUUUUCAUCACUGGAAACACGGCAAUCCUUUUCCCUUCUUAGCCUAGAAGUAGCAGUGAAUUGACAUAAGACCCAGACUGCUCUGAAGUCACUUAGGUGUUUGGGAUUUCUUUUCUUUUUUUUCUUUUGAGACCUGAGUCUUGCUCUGCUGCCCAGGCUGGAGUGCAGUGGCAUGAUCUCGACUUGCCACGACUUCCCUCUCCCAGGUUCAAACAAUCCUCCUGCCUCAGCCUCCCAAGUAGCUGGGACUACACCCGGGUAAUUUCUGUAUUUUUAGUAUAUUCGGGGGGUUCAUUGUGUUUGCCAGGAUGGUCUCAAACUCCUGACCUUGUGCUCUGCCCACCUUGGCCUCCCAAAGUGUUAGGGAUUUCUUAUCUAAAAGGAAAAGGGAAAGGGCAAGGCUUAAAUCAACACUGUCCGAAGUAAGUUCCCUGGUUCCCUGGAACACCAAGAACACCAGUCCCCUGAGGUAGCCAUUGACGCACGGCCAAGGUCUGGUCAUUGCCUUCCAUGUGUCUCCCUCUGGGAGGGUCACACAAGUACUCGCCAUCAGGAUCCUGACUACCUUGUUUAACUCUACAUCCCCAUACCUAUUUGGCCACUCCUUUUUUCUAGUAACAUGAUUAACAUUCCACAGGCUCCUCGGGCAUGGCUGGUUGGGUCAGUUCUGUGAAAUUUAUGGCCUGGUAUUCUGGAUAAUCAUUGUGUGAGUCAGUCCUGAGAAACAUCCUGGUUUGUCAGAUGUCACGAUGUUUGGAUGUUUUGUCAAGAUGUUUGAUUUUGCAAAGUCAUCAUAACCCCACACCGACAGAAAGCACACGUGUCAGUCUUUUUUGUCCCUCAUCCAGUUUUUUUCUGACCUGUUAGCACUUCCAAGUCCCUUUGGUAGGAAAUGUUCUUUCUGACUACCAGCUUUUCCUUUGGGAGUUACCGAAAAUGCCAUUACAAGAAAAGGAAGACACCCCUAUUUCCCACCCACAUUGCUUUCCUGUCAUAGAAUACGCAGAUAUGCCAGAUCGUCACUCUCACAGUACUCAAGAGCUUCAGCUCUGGAGUCACACCGCCUGCAUUCAAAUUCCAGGCUUCACUGCUUCAGAGAUAUGUUACGCCGGGCAAAUUGCUUUGCCCCUCUGAGCCACAGUUUUUUCAUCCGUAACAUAGGAGAACAAUAAAAGCACCCACCUUUUAAAGAAAAGAUUAAAAAUGGCAAUGCAUGUAAAGCCCUUAGAAUGCUUGUGCUAGGCACUUAGCAAAUAUUGACAUUUCUCAUUCCUACUCUUUCUCAUUCCUCUGACCCCCUUCGUAGCUAAUGUGGUUUUAACAGCUGAGACAGAGGACAGAGGAAAUGGAAACCAUGGGGGAAGAGGAGGAAGGGCGCCUGCGGAUGUUUUAGUUAUAUUUACAUUGUGAGAUGCAGAAGACAGAGAGACAAAAGCAGACAUCAGAGCUUCUGAGCCUAGAAAAGUAACAGGUGAGUCCCAGACUGAAAAAGAUUAGAAAAUCCUCAUCUAAAAGAACAGGCCUCCAUUUAUGAGACCCUGCCUAGUGCUUCAAUACCGAUCAUGCCUAAAGCUUGAGUGCAAGCCCCGUGGGAUGUAUGCGGCUUCUUCCUAUUCAACAGCCAGCCAGGCCACCUUAACAAAGGGGCACGGAGCUGAUGGAUUAACACAAAUUCA
This 3348-nucleotide long non-coding RNA is filed under the name Callithrix jacchus (white-tufted-ear marmoset). RNAcentral's name for it is "lncRNA (ENSCJAG00000079835.1)". The record is from RNAcentral. Lineage: Eukaryota; Metazoa; Chordata; Mammalia; Primates; Cebidae.